RNAcentral lists this long non-coding RNA (1412 nucleotides) under Sinocyclocheilus grahami. RNAcentral's name for it is "lncRNA (ENSSGRG00000047024.1)". Lineage: Eukaryota; Metazoa; Chordata; Actinopteri; Cypriniformes; Cyprinidae. The record is from RNAcentral.
GGGUUGUCAUCAGAGCACGUGCAGCCGUUCUGGAGAAACGGCGGCGGCUGAGUUGUUAAUUCGAACGACGUUAAAACGCCGACGCAAGCCGUGAGAAUAUCGAAAACCACCGCCGACGUUCGUUCAGCAGAGUGGCCGCUUUACAUUUUCGCGCUGUGAUGACAACAUCAACAUUGCGGAUGUAGUACUUCCGAAUUCCUUUCAUACUAUAGAACGUUCAUUUUAACGGUCUGGAAGUAAGUUCAAAUUCAAAUGUAGCACUCAAGCAGUACGCGAUUUCGAACGCAGCGUUUGUGACUCGAGCGAACAGUUCGCGCGGCGCCGCAGUCAACAUGAACAACUUCGAACAAAUGUUGGCUGAACAGGUACGCUUGUACAGACAUCUUUAUGAUCCGUCCAUGCGUGCUCACAGAGACGGCCAGAUGGCAAAGAACUCUUGGCGAGAAAUUGCAGCCACCGUGGGAAAGGAAGAAAGUGUUUGCAAGAAAGUCUGGAAGAACUUAAGAGAUCAGUUUGAAAAGGCAAACAAGAGAGUUCAUGGUAAAAGUGGAGACCCAGCUGGAUUCAAACAUGCGUCACCCAUCCUCUCAGAGCUUGGCUGGUUAUCACAAUUUGUGAAACACCGGGAAACGGAUUCAACGAUGGAUUAUGAGGAGGAAGGUAGUGUGGCCUCCAAUCAUUGGCAGGAAAGCAGCAGUAGGCUACUGAAGGUUGACCUAUCUCCUCCGCUGCCAGCAGCUCCUACAUGUACAACCUCUCUCUGCUCAGAUACAUCUUUUCCUCAAAGCAUCUCCGUUUGUUCCCCUAAAUCGCUGCCAGGCUCUGCAUGUAAGAGAAAACGGAACACCAAGGAUGUUCUUUUGAAGAGAUUGGAGAGGUUGGACCAGGAAAGGGAAAUGGCAAGACAGCAGGACAACGAGGACUACAGAUGUGGUGUUGUUAUUGCAGACAUGUUGUCAAAGGUGACCCUGAAGAGAAGACGCGUGUGAAGUUCAGGCUCUUAAAAAUAAAGGUGCUUCAAAAGGUUCUUCAAGCGAUGCCAUAGAAGAACCAUUUUUGGUUCCACAAAGAACCAUUCAGUCAAAGGUUCUUUAAAGAACCAUCUCUUUCUUACCUUUUUGUAAUCUGAAGAACCUUCUUUCGCCACAAAGAACCUUUUGUGAAACAGAAAGGUUCUUCAGAUGUUAAAGGUUCUUUAUGGAACCAUUUAGACAAAAAGGUUCUUCUAUGGCAUCGUGAAGCACCUUUAUUUUUAAGAGUGUACCAAGUUCUUUUUGAGGAUCUGGACAAACAGCAAACAAAGAAUGCUUGCAGAGACACUUAAAACUGUUUCUUUAUGCAUCUAAAGACUUAUAAAAGCAUCUUCAGCAUCAAUAUUUGAUAUUGUUUGUACAGUUGCAACAAGUACCUCA